This 346-nucleotide ribosomal RNA is filed under the name uncultured bacterium. Its description in RNAcentral is "bacterial SSU rRNA". It matches the Rfam family "Bacterial small subunit ribosomal RNA", at positions 556 to 901 of the family's 1533-position model. The record is from RNAcentral.
GGGNGUAAAGNGUGCGCAGGCGGUUCUGUAAGUCAGAUGUGAAAUCCCCGGGCUUAACCUGGGAAUUGCAUUUGAAACUGAUUGGCUAGAGUACGGGAGAGGGAAGUGGAAUUUCCGGUGUAGCGGUGAAAUGCGUAGAUAUCGGAAGGAACACCAGUGGCGAAGGCGACUUCCUGGCCCGUUACUGACACUGAGGCGCGAAAGCGUGGGGAGCGAACAGGAUUAGAUACCCUGGUAGUCCACGCCGUAAACGAUGAGAACUAGAUGUUAGGUGGCUUAGACCAUUUAGUAUCGCAGCAAACGCGUUAAGUUCUCCGCCUGGGGAGUACGGUCGCAAGAUUAAACU